Sphaeramia orbicularis (orbiculate cardinalfish) is the source of this 1195-nucleotide long non-coding RNA. RefSeq lists it as uncharacterized. The record is from RefSeq and is a predicted model, not a curated record. The transcript has 2 exons. NCBI's taxonomy places the organism in Eukaryota, Metazoa, Chordata, Actinopteri, Kurtiformes, Apogonidae.
AAUCCGAUUUCACCAAAAAAUUGAGUUGUGCAUUACACCCUGCUGUGUGAACGCAGCCUCAGUGAGUUAUGGAGUGAAGAUGAUGUCUUGUGGAUGUUGACUUUAAAAUGCUUCAGCAGUGGCUUUGUUGUUUCACUUUGGUCGACAAUUCUGAAAGUCCAAGGUCGUUUAUUUCGUUGACGGUGCAAACACCUUUAACUCUGCACCACUCAUCUGAGACAAACCAGGUAAAAUGAAAACCCAGACAGUCUGCCUGGCCUGGUGCUGGUGGGGGGGACAGUCCUGUUGAACAUGUUUCAGUUGGUCUUUGGUUUUUCUUUUUUACAAAGUGCCUGGUUUAGUUUCUGUCCAUUACUUCCUGUUUUAACCUCUGCUCUUAUCUGACAUGCCUGCCCCCGAUGAAAGCACAGCGCUGCUUUGAAUCACUGACUAAAGCCAUUCUGGACCGUUUGAAUGGACCGACUGGACCUGAACAGUGAACAUCAUUCGGUCUCUAGUGUCUCUGUUUGUAUUUUUAAGUGCCCAUCUUCUUCUUUUAAAUGAAUCCACGUUGGUGUCGUCAGUGCCAGUGUGUACUAGUACUUAAAUAGUCUGUGGUUUAAUUUAUUCUUUUUUUUUUUUCAUAAUUUUUGAUUCCUGUCAUGAUUUUUGGAAUCACAGAAUUCUUGACCAUCUUGACCACUUUGACAGCAUUUACAUGUUCCAUUUUAGACAGAUGUCGUGGCUGUGUGUACAGUUAUUCUGGUUUCAGGGAGACCAUAAUGUGAUUGUGUUUCAUCAUGUGACUCACCAUGGUUUUAAUCCCAAACCAGACUUUACAUUUAUUUCUGAAACACAGGAAGCUCAUUCAGAACAUCUGCUCAGUUCACAGGUUACCCCCCGCUUUACCUCAGCUGUAAAGUGUAGCUGCGGUGAAGGGCUUUUAGAGCCACAUUGAGGAUUGGAACAGUUAUUCCCAGAAUAGAAUAUUAUUUCAAGAAAGCAGUAAAACUUUACUAAUGUUUCACAGAAAAAGUCAUGAUUAAAGACAAAAAUCUAUCAAUAAAGUUUCUAUUGUUUUUUAGAGAAGAAUGUCAUAAUAACACAAGAAUAAAGUCUCUACUUUGAGAAAACAACUCACAAUAUUGCAGGGAACAAGUGAAUUAUACAAGUAAAGACAGUUAGUUGAAUAGUACUGGAAGAAGUCAAUAUUUCA